This 218-nucleotide long non-coding RNA is filed under the name Prunus persica (peach). RNAcentral's name for it is "long non-coding RNA (PPER_LNC004427)". The record is from RNAcentral. Lineage: Eukaryota; Viridiplantae; Streptophyta; Magnoliopsida; Rosales; Rosaceae.
GUCGUUUGUUUACAACUUAGACGGCGGAAUUUUUUUCUAAGACGUAAUAAAUUAUUCACCACGACGGUUUCUUCACCGUCGUUUAAAUUCUUUUCAGACGAUGUUUUAUUCCUUAAACCGUCGUUUUUAUUGAAUUACCACGUUAUUUUUUUUAUUUCUUUAAACAGGUUAUUCAAGUUGUUGAUUAUUCAAAUAUGGAGGCGCCAUCUUCUUUAAAA